Molecule: long non-coding RNA, 447 nt
Organism: Betta splendens (Siamese fighting fish)
Lineage: Eukaryota; Metazoa; Chordata; Actinopteri; Anabantiformes; Osphronemidae
Exons: 3
Source: RefSeq, a predicted model, not a curated record
GACGACGCGCUUCUGGAGGUGUCACCGGACCCCGGAGAGAUAUUUACUGCCGACGAGUGCGUCGUCAAUGCGUCGCCACCCACCCCGGAGCCGACGCAGCAGCCACAAGAACAACAACAACAACAACCGCAACCAACCAAUCCCUUCAGAAACAGAACUGAGCAGAAGCAGUCCUCUACCAGAUGGAAGCUGUGGCUGUCCUCACCAUCACCUCAUCAAAAGUGGACUGGAGACCUGCCCAGGGUGUACCCCGCCUCUCACCCAUAGCCAGCGGGGAUAGGCUCCAGCCCCUCCGCGACCCCACAUACAGGAUUAAGUUCUAGAAGAUGGAUGGAUGUUGAUGACACAGGUCUUCCAAUCUCUAAAUGUGAAGCUGAUCUGGACAUCACCACUAAUUACAUGUUUUGGAAAAAUAUAUGUUCUAAUUUAUUCCAAAUGACAAAAAAA